UUUAAAUAGACCGAACAGUGUAGAAUAUUUGGUCUUCAACCCACGCCCUUCAUGCCCAUUGAUGCUGCAAUAUUACGAUCGGGGACAAGUCAACAUAAAGGGUGUAAGAAAUAUCCUCCCAAAAGUGAAGACGGAAACAUAUGUGGUUACGUAAGUACCAUGCAUUCCUAUUUUGCAGUUAUCAGAACAUCAGAACAUCCGUGUUGAUCUUUAUCAUCUUGUAAGGUGCCACGGUCAUGCGUUGCCACGGAAAAAGAAAGUUAUGAAAAAUGUCAAAGUUUCUCUCCUCUUCCCUUCCUCGCACAUACAUGUCUGAUUCAUGGUACAAAUUUAUGUAUCUGUUAGAGAAGAACAAAAACAAAGGAUUCCCCUCACUUUAUAUCUCCUAUACCUAAAAUUGCUUAUAGGCGACUAAAUUUGCCAAUUCUAUGCUCUAAUAAACCAAAUGAAAGAGAGGGCAUAUCAAGUUGAAACCUUGAGUUUCCCUUCAAGAAAAGUUGGAGCCGUGAGCUAAAUACAAGAACCUAAAGAGAUAACCUUCAAAAUGUUCUCACCGGGGAAAACCAUCUAAAACAAUCAACAUACAGAGGUCAUGGACUUGGAAGAAAUCUGCAACAAAUCAAGAGAGUCCGAUAGAGAUGUGAGAGCUCACCAACUUUUGUAACACACGAAAUUGAAAUAUUCUUAGUCCGUAAAUCAGUAAAGCAACUAAAGUGAAGCGUAACAUUCCAGCUCUACAAAAUCACUCACAAUGGUGCAUAUACUCUCAGUUUUGAUCAUAAUAAGCCAAUAAAAUGGAUUUUGUUUCUUAUUAUACCAUCGGAAAAGUUAUUGUACAGAAAUAUUUAGUCAAUUUUGUCCAGAAACUGUCAAUACAGAACUGUUGAAAUCAAAUGUUAUUACUUCACCAGCCUUCACUAUCUUAGUUUCACAAAAAAAUGCAACCAACAGACCGAGAAAUUAAGAGUCAGAAAAUCGAACUAAUGUAAUGAGACAACAUGUAAUGGCACUGCAUGUACAGUGAAGUUUGCCAAGCUUGCGGUGUGAGCGAAAAAUGCUAAUUGUUCCUUGUUGGUUUUAAGCAACAACGAAACUUGAGGCCUCAAAAUACAUUACAUCAAUGUAACACUAUUUCAGUGGUCUCAAACCUAUUGAUGAACAGCUUGUUCUAAUUCAGAGAUUGUACAUCGAAUAUAUAAGUGUUGACAAUCUAUUCUGAAAUUGCACACGAAGUUGCAGACAACCUGUACAUUGCACAUACAGAUAGCACCCACAGAUUUCAGCAUCCAUUGCACUAAAAAUAUCACAUAAUGUGGCCUGCUACACCCCAAACGCAAACAACACAAACGCAAACAUGGGUUUCUCCCUGGGCGCGGCGUGGCGCCGCGCCUCCGCCCGCUAGUAUAGUACUACUUCAUGUGAGUUCUCAGGAACCAGCAAAUGUUAUUGGCAUGCUAGAUUCAUCUGAACACACACUUCCCCAUACCCUGAAUUUUGGCCAUGAAUUAGAUGGAGUGUGUGAAUCAAGUUCUAUCAUUUUUUCACAGAAUAAAGAACCACUUUCUCCUGCUAAAACGAAUCAGCACAUGCAUCUCCUUUGAAUAAUAAUAACAACUAAAAUGUUACGCCACCUUGUACAACUUUUAUACUGCAGUAAAUUUAGCCAGAUUACUGCCCAAUGUCUAUUACUUACACUGCCCAAAAAGUGAACUCGAUUAAUGAUCAUGAUCUAUAGCCCAACUUUCCCAAUAUAAGAAAAAAAUUAUUAUUUUGUUUAUGAAAACAUCGUUGACAACUAAUCAACAGUUCAAUUAUGGUCACUGCCGUACAAUUGAGUUAUAUUUUUAUUCACUGUCGUACAAUUGAUCAAUUAUGUACUCCACCAACUACCACUUCAUUAAUCAAUAGUUACAUUUUUAUUCAGUAAAAUAUUGGUUGUACUAACAAAGAGAUAUAAAGAAGGAUUAAUCCCACUGCUAGCAGAACUAAAAGAGAGUAAAUUCCGAAAUUCACGGAUCCAUCCUAAAUGGCCAUCUAAUAAGCAACAUAUGUGGCCAAAAAAUUAUGCUGGGAUGUCCCAAAUUGCCAUUAUAUAGUACCAAUAAUGAGGGAUGAGAAAAUAAAGAAUGAAGUCAAGGAAAUACCUCAAGUAAAUAAUCCAAAAUAUUAUUCUGUAUUCCUUCUCGAGAAACUGGCUUCUUUCUUCAUUUAAACAUUCAUAUUCCUUGUUCAGUUGGAGCGUUUGCAAUAGUAGAACUUUCUUCGGGAUUAUUGCCUUAUUGGUAGAGAUGUACAAACUUUUUUAUCUACAGAUUAAUAGGCUGAAACACUUACACCAUGAUUUUCAGACCCUGCCAACUGAUACUUCUAUAAGUUCCAAAACCUUCUAGAGUGUUCCACAACACCAAUGUCCAAGUCAAUACCAUAUAUUAUCCAUUGAAUCAUUAGAGUAAUUUACCAUAGAACAUUAAGAACAUUAGGGGAGGAUUUGUUGCAACUAUUUUAGAUCAUGCACCAAAAAAUUGUAGUUCUCCUAAAUCAAGAAGAACAAGGUCGAAAUUCACAAGAGUCGUAUAGAAAUUUCUGCAAUCAAUAUCAUACCUGAUCCAUGUACGGCAGCCUCUAAAUAAGCAACAUAAGUCCGCAGUCCAUAAAAAAUAGAAUACGCUCCAAUUUGAUGUAUCAUGCAAUUUUGCAAUACUCGAAUAAUUUUAUAAAGCAUACUGAUACUGCAUUGGAGGGCUAUAAACUUCAGUAAUAUGAAAAUAUGUAGACCGCAGUUGAUACUGUAACUUAGUGACACAACACAUGGUAUGAUAGCUAAAAGGAGAGGCUAUCAAUUGUCAUUUUUUUGCACUGAUGUGCCUGUAGAAAACCACUAUUGAUUCGAUUUGAUGUGUACCAUAGA
RNAcentral lists this long non-coding RNA (2908 nucleotides) under Triticum aestivum (bread wheat). RNAcentral's name for it is "long non-coding RNA (TAES_LNC006782)". Lineage: Eukaryota; Viridiplantae; Streptophyta; Magnoliopsida; Poales; Poaceae. The record is from RNAcentral.